Molecule: ribosomal RNA, 1875 nt
Filed under: Triticum aestivum (bread wheat)
Lineage: Eukaryota; Viridiplantae; Streptophyta; Magnoliopsida; Poales; Poaceae
Description: partial small subunit ribosomal RNA
Source: RNAcentral
AUGGGCAACACGUGCGUCGGCCCCAGCAUCGGCAAGAACGGCUUCUUCCACUCCGUCUCCACCGUGCUCUGGACCAGGCGCCCCGACGGCGAAGCCCUGCCGCCCGCCAAUGGAGGCGUCGCGGACCGGGCGCCGCCGCCGGACGCGCCGCUGGCCGUCCACAUCGUAAGCAAGGCGCCCGAGCCCGUCAAGAUCGCCUCCGGCACCGCCAACGCCAAGCCCGAUGAGGCGGCGCAACCCAAGCCCAAGGCCAAGCCGCCGGCACAUCCCAAGCCGGCCGCCCCCGCCGCCGCCAAGGAGCAGGAGUCCAAGGCGUCCACGGACUCGUCCAGCAGCUCCGGCUCCGGCGGCGAGGCCAAGCCGCCGCACCACCGGCCCAAGGUGCCCCCGGUCAAGCGCGUGUCCAGCGCCGGCCUGCUGGUCGGCUCCGUGCUCAAGCGCAAGACGGAGAGCGUCAAGGAGAAGUACAGCCUGGGGCGGCGGCUCGGGCAGGGCCAGUUCGGCACCACCUACCUCUGCGUCGAGCGGAGCAGCGGCAAGGAGUACGCCUGCAAGUCCAUCCUCAAGCGCAAGCUCGUCACCGACGACGACGUGGAGGACGUGCGCCGGGAGAUCCAGAUAAUGUACCACCUGGCGGGCCACCCCAACGUCAUCUCCAUCCGGGGCGCCUACGAGGACGCCGUCGCCGUGCACCUCGUCAUGGAGCUCUGCGCCGGCGGCGAGCUCUUCGACAGGAUCGUGCAGAAGGGCCACUACACCGAGCGGAAGGCCGCCGAGCUCGCCAGGGUCAUCGUCGGCGUCGUCGAGGUGUGCCACUCCAUGGGGGUCAUGCACCGGGACCUCAAGCCCGAGAACUUCCUCUUCGUCGAUCAGACGGAGGAGGCCGCGCUCAAGACCAUCGACUUUGGUCUCUCCGUCUUCUUCCGGCCUGGUCAAAUAUUCACCGACGUUGUCGGAAGCCCCUACUAUGUCGCGCCGGAAGUGCUGAAGAAGAAAUAUGGCCCCGAGGCAGACGUGUGGAGCGCCGGUGUGAUCAUCUACAUUCUGUUGUGCGGUGUGCCGCCAUUUUGGGCAGAGAACGAGCAGGGCAUAUUCGAAGAGGUUCUACACGGGAAACUCGACUUCGAGUCAGAUCCAUGGCCCAGCAUCUCCGAAGGCGCCAAGGAUCUCGUGAGGAGAAUGCUCCUCAGGGACCCCAAGAAGAGACUGACUGCCCAUGAAGUUCUACGGCAUCCAUGGGUCCAGGUUGGCGGUCUGGCUCCUGACAAGCCUCUGGACUCUGCUGUUCUAUCCCGUAUGAAGCAGUUCUCGGCCAUGAACAAGCUGAAAAAGAUGGCUCUCAGGGUGAUUGCGGAGAACUUGUCCGAGGACGAGAUCGCCGGCCUCAAGGAGAUGUUCAAGAUGAUCGACUCGGAUAACAGCGGGCAGAUCACGUACGAGGAGCUCAAGGUGGGGCUCAAGAAGGUGGGCGCCAACCUCCAGGAGUCCGAGAUCUACGCGCUCAUGCAAGCCGCGGACGUGGACAAGAGCGGGACGAUCGACUACGGCGAGUUCAUCGCGGCGACGCUGCACCUGAACAAAGUGGAGCGGGAGGACCACCUGUUCGCGGCGUUCCAGUACUUCGACAAGGACGGCAGCGGCUACAUCACCCCCGACGAGCUGCAGCUCGCCUGCGAGGAGUUCGGCCUCGGCUCCGACGACCUCAGCCUCGACAACAUGAUCAGAGAAGUCGACCAGGACAACGACGGGCGCAUAGACUACAACGAGUUCGUGGCGAUGAUGCAGAAGCCGGCGCUGGGGCUGGCGAAGAAGGCCGGGGCCGGGCUGGAGAGCAGCUUCAGCAUCGGCUUCAGGGAGGCGCUGAGGAUGGCUUGA